ACAGUUACCCCACACAGCUCCGGAGGUCAGAAGUACGAAAUCAGUUCCACUGGGUGGAAAUCAAGGAGUUGGCAGGGCCAUGCUGUCUGCAAAGGUCUUUGUGUGGAAUCCUUAGUUGCCUCUUCUGGCACCUGGUGACUCCAAAGACCUUCCUUGGCUGGCAGCUCAUCACUCCCGUCUCUGCCUCUGUGGUCACAUGGGCUUCUCCUCUGCAUCUGUGCCUGCCUUCAGCGUGUCUUUUAUAAGGACACUGGUAAUUGGAUUGAGGGCACACCUGCAUAUCCAAGAUGAUCUCAUCUUGUGAUCCCCAGUUCAUCAUGUCAGCAGAGACUCUCUCCAAAUAAGGUCACGUUCAGAGGUUCUGGGACGUGGACAUACCUACUCCAGCAUGAUUCACUGCAAUCAAUUAAAGCAAUACAAUAACGAAGAAAUUCACCGAGUACUUUAAGAAGCUCUUCUUUGGAGGAAGGCCAAUGAGCGUUUCUGCUUCCUGUGUUUCUGUGCUUGGGCCGCUCUCUGCUUGCCUGCGCACAGGAAGUAGUUCAGAGAACCCUGGAACCCUCUUGUGACACGUGUGAGGACUCCUGUCCCGGAAACCUGACACCAGUGCUUGCCAAAAACUCUAAGAUGAACACAGAGAUGGGUCUGAAAUUUGGAACUCGAGUCCCUGACAUGGAGGCCAGCCUCUGAGAAUGCUGUGCUCUUUUUUUUUUUCCAGUUGAGAAUUUGGCUGGGCCAAACCCCUCCCUGCACUUGUCAGAAGCCCAAGGUCCAGCCUUCACUCUCCUUGUGGAGGAAGAAAAGAAAAUUUAUUCAGCCAAGUUCGCCCACCUGCUCCUUUCAACUGAGAGUCUGCAUCCAUCCCUGUGUCCUUAAACAGGAAGGCACUGGGAAAGGUUGGCCUCUGGAGGGCUAGAACAAGAUGCUGUCAAGAAUGUGCUGGAGAAAUGGCCUGGCUUGACCUAGUGUCUGACUCUUGCAGACCAAAGAACUCACUCGCAAGUUGUGAGGACCUGUCAGGCUUCAUGCCAGGAACCACAAGCCAGGUGGCAGAGAGCAUCUCCCGAGUGGCCUGGGGUCAGGCCAUACCUGUGGCUUCAGGCUCCCUGCCUGGACCUGAUGGAGGACGUGGAGCACCCGGCAGGACAGCCCCCACUCUGGGCCUCUGCUGCCACCCCUCACCCCACCCCCAGUCAUUCUGUUCAUGUCCACAAUUGGCUGGCAGGAAGAGUGCCCUCCCCGUGCAGGACUAAGGACAACCCCUGCUUGGGGCCACAGCUGGGACACUGUAGCGUGGGGGCUAGGGCUCAGAAUCCAGCCCUGGGAAGCCUCGGUCUGGUGGGAUGUGCCUGCACUUCUGGGCAGCGUCACCCGGAGGCCUAUGCCAUGAAGUGGGUAGGCCCAAACACAGCUGUCUGCCCAGAGGAACAAAUAGCUGGGCCAGUGGCGAGCUGAGGAAGGAGGUCCCCAUGGGAAGGUGGGGCUGCUGCCCAGGUCCCGUGGGAGAGGCUGUGGGGCACCUGGGGUCGGAUCACAGUCCCCUCCCAUCUCUAAAGAAAAGCUGGAAACUCGGAUUUCCGGGGAACGUCUUCUGAUGUUAAAAUGCUGGCAGUGAGCUGAAAGUGUUAAGAUGAUCUGUGAGGAUCAGAUGACAUGCAUCUGGCAUGGCAUGGGCUGGCACGGGCUCUGGUGGCCCUGUUCUCUCUAAAUCAUGUGACCUUACCCUGCAAUGCUGUGCUGAGUUUAUAACUGAAGCUACUGAGAUCCAGAGACUUGCAGUGACUUCCCACAGGAGGCAAAGCCAGGUGGGAACCCGAUCUGGACAGCUGGUCUAUGCAUUCUCCACCAACCCCUACACCUCUCUCCCCAAGCUGACUGCCCUUCUAAAGGCUUGAUGGUGGCCACAGCCAGGAUGAUCAGGGCUCUGCUGCCCCUGCUUGGUGCAUGAGGCAGAGGACCUUGUUGGAGUCUGGCCUCCGAAAGAGGCUUUCAAAGCUCAGGCCUGGGCCUCACAGCAAUCUGUACAUCUUAGGGAUUGACUCUUCUGUGCAGAGAACAUGUUGCCCAGGGGCCAAGGUUCCCCAGGCCCAGACACUACACAUGCAGGCUGAGCUCCAUCAGGCUGCUUUCCCCUCAACCUCCAACUUGCCCUGUGGAACCCCUUCGGAGGGUGGCAGACUGGAGGUGGGCUCCACAGCCUGGACCUGUCUCAAGGAGGCUGCCACCAUUACCUUUCCAGGGCUUUCCCAUCUGCUGCUCCCCUUGCCACUUUCCCUAGAGCUAUUUCUGUGCUUCUGGCUGGAAUCAGGUGAGCCAUUCCACAGAAAUCCUGAGAGCUCAUAUUCAUGCAUCCCUCACGGCAUGCUAUGGAAGGUACUACUUCAUGCAUUCCUGAGAAGAAUCCUUGGAGACCAUUAUUUUACUUUUGUUAUACAGGUGAAUUUGCUUGUGGAAAUACUGGAAUUUAGUGGCAGAACCAACACUAGGACACAGUCCUAUCAGGCCUUGGAGUCCUUAUUUUUUUGUUUGUUUUAAGAUUUAUUUAUAUAUUUGAGGGAGGGGGCAGAGGAAGAAGAAGAAAGAAUCUCAAGCAGACUCCAUGCUGAGCUGAGCACGGAGCCCAAUGCCAGGCUCCUAUCAUGAAACUGUUGUGAGUUCUCAUGAAUCAUACAACUUGAGGAUGGUCUUGAGAUGCCCCAAAACAGCAGCUUAGAGGGAAGUUAUAUAAAGCUUCUGCCCAUGGGGAUCCCUGGGUGGCACAGCGGUUUGGCGCCUGCCUUUGGCCCAGGGCGCGAUCCUGAAGACCCGGGAUCGAAUCCCACGUCAGGCUCCCGGUGCAUGGAGCCUGCUUCUCCCUCUGCCUAUGUCUCUCUCUCUCUCUCUCUCUGUGACUAUCAUAGAUAAUUAAUUAAUUAAUUAAUUAAUUAAUUAAUUAAAAAAAAAAAGCUUCUGCCCAUGGCUGGCACGUGAAGUGGGCCUCAGCAAUGGUGGCCAGAAUUAUACCUCUGAAGCUCCAGCCUGUUGCUGGUUUUUCCUGUAGACCCCAUCCUCUCUCCUGAGGAGAGAGUCAGGUUCUGCUCUUUGCCUCCCUGACUGGGUUUAGCAUUCAUUCACUCAUGGCUUUCUCAAAGCUGCCCUCCACCCAGAGAAUCUCAGUUCAGGCAGGGCCCUGUCCCUGGCUGGGGACAAGAAGUGAAGAGGCUGACUCAUGCAUGACCUGAUGAUGGGCAAGUUGAGUCAGUUCCAUAGUCCGACCCACCCCUGAGAGGUGAUAAGCUGUAUUCCCUGGACAGGAGUGCAGACCUGCAGGCAUACUUCUAAAGUCUGUGGUAGUUGGAGCCAUGCUAACUGCAGCACCAGAGGAUGAAUGAAGAAGACAUCCCGGACAUCUGGACUCGGCAGAUAUCACCUGGAGCAGAGCUGAGCCAUUCACUGUGCUCUGUCUGAACCGCCAAUCCUCUCCGCCUUUACCUCCCUUUGUUAAAGAUGUGGGAACAAAAUUUUUCCAUGUCUUGACAUUCUCUUAACUUCCUCUUACUCUACCAUAAGAAAUGGGGGAAAUGCAUGGGCACUUGGGUGGCUCAGUUGGUUAAGUGUCUGCCUUCAGCUCAGGUCAUGAUCCUGGGGUCCUGGGAUAGAGCCCUGCAUUGGGCUCCCUGCUCAGCAGGGAGUCUGCUUCUCU
Long non-coding RNA from Canis lupus familiaris (dog), 3682 nucleotides. RefSeq lists it as uncharacterized. The transcript is spliced from 4 exons. The record is from RefSeq and is a predicted model, not a curated record. Lineage: Eukaryota; Metazoa; Chordata; Mammalia; Carnivora; Canidae.